This 783-nucleotide ribosomal RNA is filed under the name Enterococcus mundtii. RNAcentral's name for it is "bacterial SSU rRNA". It matches the Rfam family "Bacterial small subunit ribosomal RNA", at positions 26 to 780 of the family's 1533-position model. The record is from RNAcentral. Lineage: Bacteria; Bacillati; Bacillota; Bacilli; Lactobacillales; Enterococcaceae.
AGGACGAACGCUGGCGGCGUGCCUAAUACAUGCAAGUCGAACGCUUCUUUUCCCACCGGAGCUUGCUCCACCGGGAAAAGAGGAGUGGCGAACGGGUGAGUAACACGUGGGUAACCUGCCCAUCAGAAGGGGAUAACACUUGGAAACAGGUGCUAAUACCGUAUAACAAUCGAAACCGCAUGGUUUCGUUUUGAAAGGCGCUUUACGGUGCCGCUGAUGGAUGGACCCGCGGUGCAUUAGCUAGUUGGUGAGGUAACGGCUCACCAAGGCCACGAUGCAUAGCCGACCUGAGAGGGUGAUCGGCCACAUUGGGACUGAGACACGGCCCAAACUCCUACGGGAGGCAGCAGUAGGGAAUCUUCGGCAAUGGACGAAAGUCUGACCGAGCAACGCCGCGUGAGUGAAGAAGGUUUUCGGAUCGUAAAACUCUGUUGUUAGAGAAGAACAAGGGUGAGAGUAACUGUUCACCCCUUGACGGUAUCUAACCAGAAAGCCACGGCUAACUACGUGCCAGCAGCCGCGGUAAUACGUAGGUGGCAAGCGUUGUCCGGAUUUAUUGGGCGUAAAGCGAGCGCAGGCGGUUUCUUAAGUCUGAUGUGAAAGCCCCCGGCUCAACCGGGGAGGGUCAUUGGAAACUGGGAGACUUGAGUGCAGAAGAGGAGAGUGGAAUUCCAUGUGUAGCGGUGAAAUGCGUAGAUAUAUGGAGGAACACCAGUGGCGAAGGCGGCUCUCUGGUCUGUAACUGACGCUGAGGCUCGAAAGCGUGGGGAGCAAACAGGAUUA